This 306-nucleotide RNase P RNA is filed under the name ANME-2 cluster archaeon. RNAcentral describes it as "RNase P RNA component". It matches the Rfam family "Archaeal RNase P". Rfam says of the family: Ribonuclease P (RNase P) is a ubiquitous endoribonuclease, found in archaea, bacteria and eukarya as well as chloroplasts and mitochondria. The record is from RNAcentral. Lineage: Archaea; Methanobacteriati; Methanobacteriota; Methanomicrobia; Methanosarcinales. RNAcentral also lists the same sequence under 2 other names.
GAGAGAGGAAGAGCAGCCGCCGCGACAUUAGUCGUGAGGAAAGUCCCCUCACCACUGGACACACGGAUGCCGAGAUGGCUUAUGGCGAGAGUUUUGGCUCUGACACAGAAACGAUACCACGGUAUGCAUAAUGCGAUGAUGCCGGAAGGCUGAGGUCACAUAUCGUGGAUGAAACGGUCUAAUCCCCGUGGGUGCAAGCCAGCGACAGGGCACGCGCGAUUAAGCGCGAGCGGAGUCCAGCCGUGCCCGGGUAUGGCGCUCAGUCGAAUGCUGCUAUGAACAGAAAGGGGCUUACUCUCCUCACUC